Monodelphis domestica (gray short-tailed opossum) is the source of this 817-nucleotide long non-coding RNA. The record is from Ensembl. Lineage: Eukaryota; Metazoa; Chordata; Mammalia; Didelphimorphia; Didelphidae.
GAACCAACUGACCUAAUCUUUCAGCUUAUCAAAUAUCAUUUGAUAUUAACAAUACAUAUCCAAUCAGGUGACAAAUCUUGUUAUUUCUGCUUUCAAGACAUCUCUCCUCAUCUCCACCUCUUGGAAUCCCUGAGUUCUUUCAAGACAGCUCAUGCAUUACCUCCUGCCAAAGGCUUUUCCCAGUCUCCUCAGCUAAUGUUGAGUUUCAGAUGUCUCAGUUUUCAUACAGACCCUACAAGCAAUGUCAUGUGGUCCCAUUCUGGAGUAGAUCUCAACAGAAGCUUGAACAUGAGUCUUCAUAGAAGAGCUGGUCAGCAACAGAGGUUCCUAGAGAAAGGCUCACCAUGAACCAGAGUAUCAUAGCCAGAGAGAAAAGGUCUUUGUUUAGCAAGAUGGUGAAACCAAAAGAAGAAAAUCCUACCUUGUUUUUUGCAAAGUCAUUCUCUUGACUUUCCCAGAGGCUGUCCUGAGACUGCAGAAGCACAUGGCAUUUCCCUGGAGUUAUGGCCUGAUGAGGAGUCAGAUACAUAUCUAAAAUCAAAAUUUAGAAAACUUAGAAUAGCAGCAGAUUAAAGUCCCAAGGAUCUUUUCCUCAAAAAGCAAAAUUUUACUAAUUAUAAAUUAAGUUGAGAUUAUUAUCAUUUUCCCCUCAUGUCUACAUAAAUUUCAGGGUCUGCUAUUGAUCUUUCACAUAAUAAUAAUUGCAAUCUGGACUUUUACUCAUAUACAGAGAGUGCCAGUUCAUAUAUACAGUAAAUGAAUGGUUGGUUCAAAAAUAUAGCUUCCCUAUAUACUAAUUAUUAAUGUACAGUCCCAU